GAACUGAGGGGGGCUGCUCCUAGUACGAGAGGACCGGAGUGGACGCAUCACUGGUGUUCGGGUUGUCAUGCCAAUGGCACUGCCCGGUAGCUAAAUGCGGAAGAGAUAAGUGCUGAAAGCAUCUAAGCACGAAACUUGCCCCGAGAUGAGUUCUCCCUGACUCCUUGAGAGUCCUGAAGGAACGUUGAAGACGACGACGUUGAUAGGCCGGGUGUGUAAGCGCAGCGAUGCGUUGAGCUAACCGGUACUAAUGAACCGUGAGGCUUAACCUUACAACGCCGAAG
Molecule: ribosomal RNA, 284 nt
Filed under: Escherichia coli
Lineage: Bacteria; Pseudomonadati; Pseudomonadota; Gammaproteobacteria; Enterobacterales; Enterobacteriaceae
Description: partial 23S ribosomal RNA
Rfam family: Bacterial large subunit ribosomal RNA
Source: RNAcentral